UCACCUCCAGCAAACGCGACCACAACCACACACCUCCAGUAACAUCUUCGUUUUCAUCCGCACCCUCCGUCUUUUUUUCGCCUCUAACAACAUCCUAAAAAAACUAAACCCUUCGUUAUUCGCCUCAAAAUUCACAACAUAUCUUUUUUCGGAGUGAAAAAAAUGAUUAUCACAUAAUCUAAGCCUUUUUGGAGGAAGAGUUUUAGGUUUGACAAUAAAGAAUAUUUCGAAGAGCAGCAACAAAUCUACAUCGCAUCGGCUUUUUAAGGACAAGGCAAAGAACCACAUUGAUGGCAUGCAACUGACAUUCAU
Molecule: non-coding RNA, 312 nt
Organism: Vicia faba (fava bean)
Lineage: Eukaryota; Viridiplantae; Streptophyta; Magnoliopsida; Fabales; Fabaceae
Source: the annotation of a GenBank genome assembly